GAUGAACGCUGGCGGCGUGCCUAAUACGUGCAAGUCGAGCGAACGGACGAGAAGCUUGCUUCUCUGAUGUUAGCGGCGGACGGGUGAGUAACACGUGGAUAACCUACCUAUAAGACUGGGAUAACUUCGGGAAACCGGAGCUAAUACCGGAUGAUAUUUUGAACCGCAUGGUUCAAAAGUGAAAGACGGUCUUGCUGUCACUUAUAGAUGGAUCCACGCUGCAUUAGCUAGUUGGUAAGGUAACGGCUUACCAAGGCAACGAUGCAUAGCCGACCUGAGAGGGUGAUCGGCCACACUGGAACUGAGACACGGUCCAGACUCCUACGGGAGGCAGCAGUAGGGAAUCUUCCGCAAUGGGCGAAAGCCUGACGGAGCAACGCCGCGUGAGUGAUGAAGGUCUUCGGAUCGUAAAACUCUGUUAUUAGGGAAGAACAUAUGUGUAAGUAACUGUGCACAUCUUGACGGUACCUAAUCAGAAAGCCACGGCUAACUACGUG
RNAcentral lists this ribosomal RNA (497 nucleotides) under uncultured bacterium. RNAcentral's name for it is "partial 16S ribosomal RNA". It matches the Rfam family "Bacterial small subunit ribosomal RNA", at positions 28 to 507 of the family's 1533-position model. The record is from RNAcentral.